Molecule: ribosomal RNA, 253 nt
Filed under: uncultured bacterium
Lineage: Bacteria
Description: partial 16S ribosomal RNA
Rfam family: Bacterial small subunit ribosomal RNA
Source: RNAcentral
UACGUAGGGUGCGAGCGUUAAUCGGAAUUACUGGGCGUAAAGCGUGCGCAGGCGGUUCGUUAUGUCCGUUGUGAAAGCCCCGGGCUCAACCUGGGAAUGGCAAUGGAAACUGGCGAGCUAGAGUGUGGCAGAGGGGGGUGGAAUUCCGCGUGUAGCAGUGAAAUGCGUAGAGAUGCGGAGGAACACCGAUGGCGAAGGCAGCCCCCUGGGCUGACACUGACGCUCAGGCACGAAAGCGUGGGGAGCAAACAGG